GAGAGAGACAUGCGCGCAUAUCAAUAAGCGGAGGAAAAGAAACUAACAAGGAUUCCCUUAGUAACGGCGAGUGAAGCGGGAAGAGCUCAAAUUUGAAAUCUUCAAGGUUUUACCUUGACGAAUUGUAGUUUAAAGAAGGUGUGUUUUCUGCUGAAGUUUUGGUAAAAGUUCUUUGGAAUAGGACAUCAUAGAGGGUGAGAAUCCCGUAUUUGACCAUUAUUUUCAGCUUUGUGAUACACUUUCAAAGAGUCGGAUUGUUUGGGAAUGCAGUCCAAAAUGGGUGGUAAAUUUCAUCUAAAGCUAAAUAUUGGCGAGAGACCGAUAGCGAACAAGUACCGUGAGGGAAAGAUGAAAAGAACUUUGAAAAGAGAGUUAAACAGUACGUGAAAUUGUCAAAAGGGAAGCGUUUGACACCAGUGUUGUUUUCUCGAAAAUCAAUUAAAAAUGGCUCGAUUUUGUAUUGCUGAGACCUUAAAAGCUCACUGUACAUUUUUCGUGUCUUUUUUAAUGCACUUUUCGUUUAACAAGUCAACAUCAGUUUCUUUUGUUGUAAAAGGGUCAUUGGAAGGUGGCUUUCUUUUCGGAGAAAGUGUUUAUAGCCUUUGCUCUCUGCAAUCGGAGAGACUGAGGUCUGCAGCGUAGACUCUUCGGGGUUAGAUACAUUUGUGCUAAGUUAUAGCUUUUUAUAGACAACUUGUUGACUAUAAUUAGUCUUGUAGCUUACUCGCUUAUGCUAUUUUACCUACGCUUAGGAUGUUGAAGUCAUCGUAUCGCGC
Molecule: ribosomal RNA, 776 nt
Filed under: uncultured Neocallimastigales
Lineage: Eukaryota; Fungi; Neocallimastigomycota; Neocallimastigomycetes; Neocallimastigales
Description: partial large subunit ribosomal RNA
Rfam family: Eukaryotic large subunit ribosomal RNA
Source: RNAcentral